This 327-nucleotide unclassified non-coding RNA is filed under the name soil metagenome. RNAcentral describes it as "partial contains 5.8S ribosomal RNA, internal transcribed spacer 2, and large subunit ribosomal RNA". The stretch from base 1 to 120 matches the Rfam family "5.8S ribosomal RNA", at positions 35 to 154 of the family's 154-position model. The record is from RNAcentral.
GAUGAAGAACGUAGCGAAAUGCGAUAAGUAAUGUGAAUUGCAGAAUUCAGUGAAUCAUCGAAUCUUUGAACGCACAUUGCGCCCCCUGGUAUUCCGGGGGGCAUGCCUGUCCGAGCGUCAUUACAACCCUCAAGCUCAGCUUGGUGUUGGGCCCCGCCGCCCCGGCGGGCCCUAAAGUCAGUGGCGGUGCCGUCCGGCUCCGAGCGUAGUAAUUCUUCUCGCUCUGGAGGUCCGGUCGUGUGCUCGCCAGCAACCCCCAAUUUUUUUCAGGUUGACCUCGGAUCAGGUAGGGAUACCCGCUGAACUUAAGCAUAUCUAAGCGGAGGA